GUAUUCUACAGACUGGCUACCUUCUUUCCAGGUCUCUUCUUUUCCCUUUUUCCCAGCCAGCAACCAAGAACAUUAACCAAUAAUUAUGUGUCAUUUCGUCGCAACUGCAUACGAGUUUUGCUCAAUUAUGCUCUUGUUAUAACGUUUCCAAUUCUAACUCGCUAAAGCAUUCCCUAACAGGCCUCAAUUCUGACAUUGUCCUCUGAUUCAGCCUCUUCACCCAAGGCGGGUCCUUCUGGGGGUGAUACCAUUGAUUCUCCAUCCUCAGACGAAGACAACCAUCCAGUUGCUCCAACUACUAGACUCUCCGUUGAAUAAGAUUUCCAAAUCAAAAGGGGGAGCAAAGAAAAAGAAAAGAAAAGGGGAUGGGGAUGAUGGGCAAGAAAUUGAGGAUGGCACAUCUGCAAAGCAUACUGAAGAACGUCAUGUAAGAACAUUUAUACCAACACUUCUUUUGUGUUCGUUUUAGUUUCUGCCAAUAGUUUCUGAUUGAUCAGUACAUAAAGCUGUGAAGUAUAUACCAUAGCCUGUUUUGGGAGUUGUCUGAGUUUGUGGGAGAAUUUUGUCCAAAGCUGGAUAUCACAUAAGAAAUGUUGCUUCUGCUAGCUAUACAUGGCUCCUAUAGUGAAGGAAUAUUGUCGUUUAAUAGUUAUAUGCCAACGAAAGCUUUUAUGUAUUGCCAAAAUUGAUGUUAGAUAACAGUGGCUGGUUUCAAACAGCAAAUUGAGGGAGUUUACCUUUAAUUUUCUGCUAAAAGCUAGAGGUGUUUCUAAGAGUGACAUCCUUCUUGGUUUCACAAGUGAAGGAAUCAAAUGGUUGGCAUGCCACCUCCCCCACACUUAAUGUCCUCUGCUAUGCUCAUUCUGGUGUGAUGAAUUUUGGUGUUGAUAUCUAAUUUCUAACCAUUCAUUGCAUUGAACGAUAUUGUAUACAGUCAACUAAUUUUAGACUUUCUUUCUACCACUAUUGGCGUGCGGAAUGUUUCUUUAAUAGGAAGCCCUAGCAUGGUUACUGGUUUUGAAUAUUUAGUUUUCUAAGGCCUUCAUGUGCUACCUACACUGUGGUUAUGUCCGUUCUAAUAUUCUCUUAUUAUCAAAUUAAUUUGUCAGAGUUCCUCCAAGAUCUCCCUGAAUUUAACUCUCUCUAUCUCUAUUUAUUCAGCUGUCUUUCUAUAGAUUGUGAUGAAUCAAUAUACAUGCAGCUUAGAUGAGGUAAUGCUGUUAUAUUUAAUGAUCACAUAACUCGUUGGAAGAUGUCUAGCUUGCUAUUUAUAUGCUUGAUAUUACUGACAAGCACAAUGAUGCUAACAGGCAUCAAACCAUUCAGUUUGGGCAUUAUCAUUGGACUCUGAGUCUUGUCAUGAUAAUAGCCCUAUACGGGAUGUCGAAAAAAGUAAAAUUGAAGAGUGUGGAAACGAUGAGGAUCCCAUUUCUUUGCACACUAGAGAAGUGUCUCCGGUAAAAAAAGGCCUCAAAAACUAAAUCUCUGAAAACUCCAGAAGGAGAGGGUCAUGCUCCAAAGAAAGGAAAGAAGGGGAAGAAUGAAAGCAAUAAUGUGCAAAGUAAAGGAAACCAUGGUGAUGUAGAAAUUACAGAGGAAGUCACAUCUGAGAAGCUUAUCAAUGCUCAUGUUUCUAUAUCAAGGUUACCAUUGGUGCUUUCUGAGAAAGUCCAGCGUUCCAAGGUCUUCUCUCUCAAUAACUUGUAGAAAUUCAAAUAAUUAAGGUUUAAAGUCCUGGGAUGAGAGAAGUCCAGUUCUGGGAAGAAGCAAACUACGCACUGCCGGCUGCUUAUUUUUGUAUUGCUUAGUUAUUUGGUCUCUUGGCACUUGUUGAGUGUGAAGGUGAAUCCAUUGAUCUAAGUGGUGAAAUGGGGGCUGUUGGGCGACCAGUGAUUCCAGAUACCCCAUCUGGAGAUUCUGAAAUGCACCUAGACUUGAAAGGCACAAUAUACAGAACAACAACAGUUCCUUCCAGAACGUUUUACGUUGUAUGUCAGGGAUCUCUACUUGAAUUCUUCAUAAACAACUGCCCUCUUUUCACUUUCCCGUCCCCAUCUUGGUCCCCCAUGAUUUCCAUGGGUUCUGUUCUACAUUUUACUUUUGAAAGGGAUGAUUGCGUGAUAUAGCAUGUUUCCCUUCCGGUUCAGGUUAGCUUUGGUCAAUCCAAGGCAAAGAUAGAGGCUACCAUGAAUGACUUCAUUCAGCUUAAAACGCAGUAAUGUUUAUGAAUAUGAAACUACAGUUGAAGGAACGCUUGAGGGUUUUUCUUUCUUUUCUGAAGAUGAGACUGACAAGAUAACAAAGGCUACUGCUCAUCAAACCGAUCAGAAUAUGGACGUUGAAGAACCAUCCAAUGGAAUGAUUAAGAGAAAAGCUGAGAAAUCAUCUGGAGUGGCUCGAAAGAAAGGUAAAACUGCGGGAGGAAAGCCGUGCAACGUAUGAUAUAUCAUACAUGCUUGCAUAAAUCAUGAACCAUUAAUGACCGGAUAUAACGUAGCUGAUUGAGGUUGAUAUAGAAAUCACAAUUAGAUUAGUUUUCUUUACUUGCUGGAUUUAAUCAUCAUAGCUUAUUUAAUUUAUUUUGGAAGAAAAUGAUGGUUAUUUUAAGUU
RNA transcript from Populus trichocarpa (black cottonwood), 2610 nucleotides. It is a transcript of the gene named DNA-binding protein BIN4-like, with no coding region annotated. The transcript is spliced from 10 exons. Lineage: Eukaryota; Viridiplantae; Streptophyta; Magnoliopsida; Malpighiales; Salicaceae. The record is from RefSeq and is a predicted model, not a curated record.